GUGUCAGCAGCCGCGGUAAUACAGAGGGUGCGAGCGUUGUUCGGAAUUAUUGGGCGUAAAGCGCUGGUAGGUGGCUUGUUAAGUCGCGUGUGAAAUCUCCAGGCUCAACCUGGAAAGUGCGCGCGAAACUGGCGGGCUUGAGUGCCGGAGAGGGUCGUGGAAUUCCCGGUGUAGAGGUGAAAUUCGUAGAUAUCGGGAGGAACACCAGAGGCGAAGGCGACGACCUGGAAGGUAACUGACACUGAGCAGCGAAAGCGUGGGGAGCAAACAGGAUUAGAUACCCUGGUAGUCCACGCCGUAAACGAUGGAUGCUAGCUGUGGCGGGUUUUGACCCCUGCCGUGGCGACGCUAACGCAAUAAGCAUCCCGCCUGGGAAGUACGGCCGCAAGGCUAAA
RNAcentral lists this ribosomal RNA (395 nucleotides) under uncultured bacterium. RNAcentral describes it as "bacterial SSU rRNA". It matches the Rfam family "Bacterial small subunit ribosomal RNA", at positions 505 to 898 of the family's 1533-position model. The record is from RNAcentral.